Molecule: ribosomal RNA, 468 nt
Filed under: uncultured bacterium
Lineage: Bacteria
Description: partial 16S ribosomal RNA
Rfam family: Bacterial small subunit ribosomal RNA
Source: RNAcentral
GACGAACGCUGGCGGCGUGCUUAACACAUGCAAGUCGAACGGAAAGGCCCUGCUUUUGUGGGGUGCUCGAGUGGCGAACGGGUGAGUAACACGUGAGUAACCUGCCCUUGACUUUGGGAUAACUUCAGGAAACUGGGGCUAAUACCGGAUAUGAGCUCCUGCUGCAUUGUGUGGGUUGGAAAGUUUCGGCGGUUGGGGAUGGACUCGCGGCUUAUCAGCUUGUUGGUGGGGUAGUGGCUUACCAAGGCUUUGACGGGUAGCCGGCCUGAGAGGGUGACCGGCAACAUUGGGACUGAGAGACGGCCCAGACUACUACGGGAGGCAGCAGUGGGGAAUAUUGCACAAUGGGCGGAAGCCUGAUGCAGCAACGCCGCGUGCGGGAUGACGGCCUUCGGGUUGUAAACCGCUUUCGCCUGUGACGAAGCGUGAGUGACGGUAAUGGGUAAAGAAGCACCGGCUAACUACGUG